UUUGAAUAAGCUAGUGGAAAAAGGGUUAGUCUAGUGAAGACUUCUGCUCCCGUUCCAAUCAGCUGCUGAGGUUGGGCUGCAGCCAGACUGAUGACUCUUCUUCCAUAUGCAAGAGGGUGAAGCACUAGGGUGUUACCAGGAAUUGAGACCUGGACGGGCUGCAGGACUGGGCACCCAGCCGAGUCACACCCAAGCGGUGGGCGCUUGCCAGCUUCGGGCCUAGGCUGUUGCCCCUGAGAGACUGGGCAGGGCCGGCAGCUCUUUGCUUGCUGAUUCUCUCAUCUCCCAGAGCAACAGCCUGGUGCAGACUGUGGUCAUCCGUGGGAAUGUUCCUCCUGCAUCGGCGGGACCUGCAUUGCCCCAGUGUGUGGCCACGUGCUCCUCUGGGCUCAUACAGAUGUCUGUACUCAGAGGACGCCACUGUGCCAUCGUGAGUUCAGGGCUGAAGUGCAGGACAGGGGCUGCUUGCUUUGAGUCUCAACUUUUGGGGCCCUUCACUGGGCUCUUGCUGAAUGCAUAAAGUAUUUAAGGCCUCAACUUCCUCAUCUGGAAAAUUAACAUUACUCCAGUCCUAUCCAUAUCACUGGAUUAUGCCGAGAACCAAAUGAGAUGAUCAGUGUAAAAAUGGUCAGUAAACUUCAAGACACUACACAGAAGCAAGCAGCCAUUUUUUUCAUGCAGCUGGGUCUUAACAGCCCUGGCUCCUUCCAGCUGCUCCCCUGUGGGGAGACUCUGUCCAUGGCCAGCCUUGAAGGGCUGGGAUUGGAUUUGCUUCAAAGAGGUGGCUGGAUUCCUGACCUGAGGUGCCCUCAGGGGUCUCUAAGAGGAAGGAGGAGCCCAGGAGCAGGUGUUGGAGGCUCAGGGAUUCAGCCCCUUUGACCAGGCUGAGAGCCUCCCUCCGUUUCCAGCCUGGGUGGGUUGGGAUCUCAUUUUGUUAGGUGGGAACUAAAU
RNAcentral lists this long non-coding RNA (951 nucleotides) under Homo sapiens (human). RNAcentral's name for it is "HSALNT0066598". The record is from RNAcentral. Lineage: Eukaryota; Metazoa; Chordata; Mammalia; Primates; Hominidae.